GGGAAAAGGGAUUUUUGUACUUGAGAUGGAGAUAUCUUGUGGUUUAAAGCAAAUGUCCCACUGAAAGCAAUUCCAAUAUCAACAGAAUUAUUUCAGGUUAAAGCAGACUUUGUGUAUGUGUUUCCUUUUUGAUGAAGUAUGGAUUAAGAUGAACUAGAUGGGAGUUGUGAUGGAGUGUUUGGAUUAGGUGUUCAUAUCACAUGGCCUGUUAGGUCAUACCGUGUGUCCACUGAGCUAUAGUGUGCUAUCUGGCUACAUUCCUCUCAGCUCACACACUCAUCUUUAGAGCAUAGGCCUUCUAUCUGUUCUGGAACAUCUAAGCAGACAGUGUCCUAGGGCUUCUCUAACGGAUCUGCUGUCUUCUGCUGCCUGGUACCCAGAAUGCAGUCCUCAGGAAACUCAACUGGCUUCAAAGAAUCCUCCAAAGGGGGCGUUGGAAUGAAAAACACAUGCCUUCAGAUACUUACAACACAUCUCAGACAUCCUGUUUUCAGAGUGAAGUAGCCAGAAAAUAACCAGCCUUCUAGACUCAGUUCCCUGUGGCAAAGCUGGGCAUGGCACACCCAGUGGAAGCAGGCUUUCAGUGAAGUGGCUUGCUGUAGAUGUGAGUCAUGCAGUUGUCUAACUGGCCGAUGCCAUUUCACUGUCAGCAAGAGUUGGGAGAAAGGGGACCUUAAUAGCUAACUCCCAGAGAUGAGUCUUCUCCUGUGGGCUGUAAGUUCAAAUCAUUUUUGAGAGCCUGGUGGAGCUCUGUCCCUUCUGCCCAGCACUGAGGAGUUUCCUGUAUGGUCUGGGUGCCCCUGGCAAUCCACUCAUGCUGUGUAUGCUGGAACAACCCUGCUCCAAAUGAAGCAGACCUGAGUAGUGUUUCCAUGGAAAAAGGUCAACAGAGAUGACAGAAAGACAGGCUGGACGCUCACACUGCAUGUUCUUAGUGUCUGUCAUUCCAAUUAUUUUAUUACCAAGUUUCCUUGGUACUGAUGAAAAUGCAGGACUUACCUCACCAAAAUGUAUGUCUGUCAGGACUUGAUGGUAAAUUGCAGUGUCAGUGUUUGAAUUUGUAGUCAUUUGUGUUGCUCUAUAAAAAGGUAGUUUACUGUGCUGCUAAUUACUCACUGCAGAAGAACCCAGUGUAUGUGCAAGCACCAAUAUUAAGACCCUUGGUCAUACUUUUCCAUGUUGUGAGAACAUGCCUCCUAAAAAAAACAAGACUUAAUUUUUC
RNAcentral lists this long non-coding RNA (1222 nucleotides) under Mus musculus (house mouse). RNAcentral describes it as "long non-coding RNA chr9:32264660-32265882". Lineage: Eukaryota; Metazoa; Chordata; Mammalia; Rodentia; Muridae. The record is from RNAcentral.